RNAcentral lists this ribosomal RNA (564 nucleotides) under Oropogon sperlingii. Its description in RNAcentral is "eukaryotic LSU rRNA". The stretch from base 241 to 394 matches the Rfam family "5.8S ribosomal RNA". The record is from RNAcentral. Lineage: Eukaryota; Fungi; Ascomycota; Lecanoromycetes; Lecanorales; Parmeliaceae.
GAAGUAAAAGUCGUAACAAGGUUUCCGUAGGUGAACCUGCGGAAGGAUCAUUACCGAGAGAGGGGCUCCGCGCCCCCGGGGGCUUCGGCCCUCGACUCUUCCCCCUCUGUGUACCCUACCUUUGUUGCUUUGGCGGGCCCCGGGGCUUGCCCCCGCGCCGGCUGCGCCCGGUGAGCGCCCGCCAGAGUCCCAUUACAUUCCGAUUAUCCGUGCCGUCCGAGUACCAAACACAAUAGUAAAAACUUUCAACAACGGAUCUCUUGGUUCCAGCAUCGAUGAAGAACGCAGCGAAAUGCGAUAACUAAUGUGAAUUGCAGAAUUCAGUGAAUCAUCGAGUCUUUGAACGCACAUUGCGCCCCUCGGUAUUCCGGGGGGCAUGCCUGUUCGAGCGUCRUUACACCCCUCAAGCGUAGCUUGGUAUUGGGUCCUCGCCCCCGCGGCGUGCCCGAAAAGCAGUGGCGGUCCGGUGCGGCUUUAAGCGUAGUAAUUUUCAUCCCGCUUUGAAAGUCCGCCCCGAGGCUGGCCAGACAACAACACCAUUCUUUCACGAUUGACCUCGGAUCA